Molecule: ribosomal RNA, 279 nt
Filed under: uncultured bacterium
Lineage: Bacteria
Description: partial 16S ribosomal RNA
Rfam family: Bacterial small subunit ribosomal RNA
Source: RNAcentral
UGCCAGCCGCCGCGGUAAUACGGAGGGUGCAAGCGUUAAUCGGAAUUACUGGGCGUAAAGCGCACGUAGGUGGCUUGGUAAGUCGGAUGUGAAAGCCCUGGGCUCAACCUGGGAAUUGCAUUCGAUACUGCUUAGCUAGAGUAUGAGAGAGGGUAGUGGAAUUUCCGGUGUAGCGGUGAAAUGCGUAGAUAUCGGAAGGAACAUCAGUGGCGAAGGCGGCUUCCUGGACUAAUACUGACACUGAGGUGCGAAAGCGUGGGUAGCAAACAGGAUUAGAUA